CACGUAGGGGACGAGCGUUGUCCGGAUUCAUUGGGCGUAAAGCGCGCGUAGGCGGCUCGGAAAGUCGGGCGUGAAAUGCCGGGGCUCAACCCCGGGACUGCGUCCGAUACUGAAAGGCUUGAAUCCGGGAGAGGGAUGUGGAAUUCCAGGUGUAGCGGUGAAAUGCGUAGAUAUCUGGAGGAACACCGGUGGCGAAGGCGGCAUCCUGGACCGGUAUUGACGCUGAGGCGCGAAAGCUAGGGGAGCAAACGGG
RNAcentral lists this ribosomal RNA (253 nucleotides) under uncultured bacterium. RNAcentral's name for it is "partial 16S ribosomal RNA". It matches the Rfam family "Bacterial small subunit ribosomal RNA", at positions 524 to 776 of the family's 1533-position model. The record is from RNAcentral.